CAGUUUUCACCUUCACCUUCCAGAGUUUAGGAUUCAUCGGCUCCUCUGAAAUCUGAUUACGGUUCUAACAAUGGAGGUUCUGAGAGGUCGUGUGAGAGGAGACUUCAUGAGUAAUCUAUGCGUUGAUGUCUGAUCGUGUCGUCUCGAUUGUUCACUACCAAACCGUUACAAGUUGCAUUGAUUCAUUGUCAUUAACAAUUUCCGACCCACUACAGCCAGGAUCUCUCAUUCAGUGAAUCUUAUCCCUCUUCCAUGCGGUGAUUCUCCACCUAUAUAAAGGAUGUCUGUUGUUCUUCAAUGAUAUCAGUGCGGCUUAGAUUUUGGGAAGCAAGAAACGUGGUGAAUAGUUUAUAGGUGUAGACAUGCUCCGCGUAGACGCUAAGACGAUUAUACGACGGCAAACUGGAAAGCUGUGUGUUCUUUUGUAGACGCCUUCGAUGGUUUAGGGUUUCAGAGAGACUGUCGUGAAAUAUAGUUCUAUUGGUUCUGUUUCUUCCUUGGCCAUUAAAAAGUGAUGCAGAUUGCUCUUGGUCGUCCCUCUUCUGAAGAAAUCCGCUUCUUACAAUAUUUUUUUUAUAUUGCUUGGUCUUUUCUCGCCAGUUGCGUUUUUAUAUAUGUUUUGGAAUGUUAUUGUAUCUGCUUCAUAGUGAUGAUGAACUGCCAUUUACUGAUAUAUAUGCCAAAGGAAGAGGUUGAAAGAUGGGACAACAACUAAGCUAAGAAGAAGAAGAGAGUAAAGGGAUGAUGAGGAAACACGAGUCUGAUGCAGAGCUAAGAUGAGAUUUGUCAGAUGAAGGAGAGACCAAAAGAGAUUAAAAUCAUGUACAUGGCUAACUAUCAGACUUAAAAGUCUGUGUUAUUUUCUUCUUCUAUACAAAGAUCCAAUUUUUCCUGUGGCAA
Molecule: long non-coding RNA, 900 nt
Organism: Raphanus sativus (radish)
Lineage: Eukaryota; Viridiplantae; Streptophyta; Magnoliopsida; Brassicales; Brassicaceae
Exons: 4
Source: RefSeq, a predicted model, not a curated record